RNAcentral lists this long non-coding RNA (355 nucleotides) under Ricinus communis (castor bean). Its description in RNAcentral is "long non-coding RNA (RCOM_LNC001848)". The record is from RNAcentral. Lineage: Eukaryota; Viridiplantae; Streptophyta; Magnoliopsida; Malpighiales; Euphorbiaceae.
AUACUAGCACGGGAUAUCCAGGUUACUAUAAUGGCUAUCAACAGCAACUUAACCAUUCGUACUCUCAGCAGCAGCCUAACCACGCGUACUCCCAGCAGCAGCCUAACCACGGGUACUCCCAGCAGCAGCCUAACCACGCAUACUCUCAGCAGCUACCUAACCAUGCACAGCAGCAGCCUAACCAUGCAUACUCUCAGCAGCAACCUAACCAUGCAUACUCUCAGCAGCAACCUAACCAUGCAUACACUCAGCCUCUAGGAGCAUAUCAAAACACAGGUGCUCCUUAUCAGCCUCUUUCUACAUUUCAGAAUACAGGGUCUUAUGCUGGGACUUCAAGUUAUUCAGCCACUUAUUA